Molecule: non-coding RNA, 112 nt
Organism: Acanthosepion pharaonis
Lineage: Eukaryota; Metazoa; Mollusca; Cephalopoda; Sepiida; Sepiidae
Source: the annotation of a GenBank genome assembly
ACAGCCAUAUUACAUUGAAACACCAGUUCUCAUCUGAUCAUUGAAGUUAAGCAAUGUUGAGCCUGGUCAAUACCUAGAUGGGUGACCACUUGUGAAUACCAGGUGCUGUAAG